GAUUCCCGUUACCCGUUAUAGCCAUUGUAGGCGCAUAACCUACAAUCGAAAGCUGAUAAGGCAGACACUUGAAAGAUGCGGCGCCGGCGCGGAGACCGUGCGCUCAGCUAAAAGUUAUUCAGAGUCACCACGAAGGGGUUUGACCUCCCGAGGGAGGACUGGUUUUGAUCUAAUAAAAGCGCUCUUCCACACGGGAGUGUGUCGGAGCUACUGGUUGGCAUGUAUUAGCUCUAGAAUUACCACAGUUAUCCAAGUAAGAAAGGGUAAGAUCCAAUGAACCAUAACUGAUUUAAUGAGCCAUUCGCGGUUUCGCCUUGCUUAGGCCUGUACUUAGACAUGCAUGGCUUAAUCUUUGA
RNAcentral lists this ribosomal RNA (356 nucleotides) under Stylocheiron affine. RNAcentral's name for it is "partial 18S small subunit ribosomal RNA". The record is from RNAcentral. Lineage: Eukaryota; Metazoa; Arthropoda; Malacostraca; Euphausiacea; Euphausiidae.